This 445-nucleotide ribosomal RNA is filed under the name uncultured bacterium. Its description in RNAcentral is "partial 16S ribosomal RNA". It matches the Rfam family "Bacterial small subunit ribosomal RNA", at positions 354 to 796 of the family's 1533-position model. The record is from RNAcentral.
GUGAGGAAUAUUGGUCAAUGGGCGGAAGCCUGAACCAGCCAUCCCGCGUGGAGGAAGACGGCCCUAUGGGUUGUAAACUUCUUUUCAAGGGGAAGAAAGUUCGCGACGUGUCGCGAUUUGCCGGUACCUUUGGAAUAAGCAUCGGCUAACUCCGUGCCAGCAGCCGCGGUAAUACGGAGGAUGCGAGCGUUAUCCGGAUUUAUUGGGUUUAAAGGGUGCGUAGGCCGAUCGAUAAGUCAGAGGUGAAAUACCAUGGCCCAACCAUGGAACUGCCGUUGAUACUGUCGGUCUUGAAUAUGGUCAAGGUAGGCGGAAUGUGUAAUGUAGCGGUGAAAUGCUUAGAUAUUACACAGAACACCGAUUGCGAAGGCAGCUUACUGGUCCAUUAUUGACGCUGAGGCACGAAAGCGUGGGGAUCGAACAGGAUUAGAAACCCGAGUAGUCC